UCAGAGUAAUUAUGCCCCGAAGGGUGUCACACAAUCAUUUCACAACAUUUAUCAAAAUAUCCUGUCAUGCUCAUUUAUUUAAUCAAAAUAAGACUCUUUUGCAUAAUUCGCAGCGGAUACAAAACAUCGACAUUCAAAGCAUGUACUACAUUACAUGUAAAGUUGAUCAACAACUGAAUUAAAACAUAUUCAAACAUCCCCUCCCGAUGUUACAUCUACCAGAGCAUGACCCACUAAGGACGACACUAGACUCCAUAGCACUAGCUUCUACUCAACUCACUGCUCGUUACCUGAAAAAUAGUUGUAAGGG
Molecule: long non-coding RNA, 310 nt
Filed under: Lathyrus oleraceus (garden pea)
Lineage: Eukaryota; Viridiplantae; Streptophyta; Magnoliopsida; Fabales; Fabaceae
Description: Pisum sativum (pea) long non-coding RNA (PSAT_LNC001787)
Source: RNAcentral